UGGGGAAUCUUGCACAAUGGGGGCAACCCUGAUGCAGCGACGCCGCGUGAGCGAUGAAGCCCUUCGGGGCGUAAAGCUCUUUCGACCGGAACGAUAAUGACGGUACCGGGAGAAGAAGCUGCGGCUAACUACGUGCCAGCAGCCGCGGUAAUACGUAGGCAGCAAGCGUUGUUCGGAGUUACUGGGCGUAAAGAGUGCGUAGGCGGUUUUCUAAGUUCGGUGUGAAAUCUCCCGGCUUAACUGGGAGGGUGCGCCGAAGACUGGGAAGCGGGAGUGUGGGAAAGGCCGGCGGAGUUCCUGGUGUGGCGGUGAAAUGCGUAGAUAUCAGGAGGAACACCGGCGGUGUAGACGGCUUGCUAGACCAUAACUGGCGCUGAGGCACGAAAGCGUGGGUAGCAAACA
This 402-nucleotide ribosomal RNA is filed under the name uncultured bacterium. Its description in RNAcentral is "bacterial SSU rRNA". It matches the Rfam family "Bacterial small subunit ribosomal RNA", at positions 355 to 774 of the family's 1533-position model. The record is from RNAcentral.